GGGAAUACACGGGAGACCACUCACUCUGUCU
Molecule: non-coding RNA, 31 nt
Filed under: Mus musculus (house mouse)
Lineage: Eukaryota; Metazoa; Chordata; Mammalia; Rodentia; Muridae
Source: RNAcentral